GUAGGGGUGGCCCUAUAAAGUGCAGGCUUGCUCCUGGUCUGGGGUCCAGAGUUGCUGAAGACUCUGUAUGGUGUUAGGCAAGGCGAAGAGAUUUGGUAAGUGGGUGGGGGGUGGCAUUUCGUGUAUCACUGUUACUGGAUUUAGUUCAUUUCAAUAACACUUGUUGAGCCCUAGCAAUGCUCCAGGGCUUCCCUGGUGGCUCAAUGGUAAAGAAUCUGCCUGAGAUGCAGGAGACACAUGAGACGUGGUUUCGAUCCCUGGGUGGGGAAGAUCCUCUGGAGGAGGAAAUGGCAAGCCACUCCUGUAUUCUUGCCUGAAAGAUUCUAUGGACAGAGGAGCCUGGUGGGCUAUAGUCUGUGGGGUUGCAAACAGUCGGAUACAACUGAGUGACUGCACACACACACACAGAACAAUGCACAUUGGGAACUAAGCUACAGACAUGCCCAGACACAUACAGAGCCGGCCUCGUGAGGCUUAAGUCCAGCAGGAGAGAUGAGGGUAUUAAAUACACAGCUACGUUCUCUGCUUCAAGCUUGGCAAAGCCCCUGCAAACGAUGACAGAAGUGUUGGGGUUAUUCUUAACAGCUUUUGGGCUUUGGCUGAAAAGGGCACGUCCUUUUUUCCCAUCUUGCUGUGAACAAUGAAUGGCUGUGUUGUAUGGGAACAUUUAGUGCCAGCUCCUUGCAUUUCCAGAAGGAGAAGGAAAGUCCUACUUUCCAAGAGGGAAAGGUUUGGGAGGAGCACUGCUGAUGUUUUUUUCCUCUAUGCCUGUGACCCGCUAAUUUCUCUGCACAGAAGGAAAGGUGAUUCUGACUCAAUGAAUGAAUUUGGAGCUGUGAACACACAGGAAGACUCUAGCACAGAAUUUACAAAAUGGAAGUCUUCGGGCUGAAUCUAGCUUCUCCAUGUGUUUCAUUGAACCCAGGUAAAACUGAAAGCUGUGAGUUAGCUGAAGGAAACAAGUGCAGGAUUAUAAGUAGAAAUAUGGAUUUUGAUUUAUUUUCUUAAAAAGCAAAGACUGGGGCCUCCCUGGAUCCCAUUCCUGAUUGGCCAUCAUCUUCUGGAGCUGAGUGGGGGUCCCUCCUUUUCACUGGGACCCCCCCAGUUUGCCAUAGUCCCCAUGGGUCUGUCAGUUUUGCAGACUCACUCAGCUUCUCUUCCAGGUCAUCUACCUGAUCCUCGGUCAUUUGGUUUUACAGCCCCAUGUUGCACCUGAGAUGCUGGGUUUAGCCUCUCCUG
This is a long non-coding RNA of Bos indicus x Bos taurus (hybrid cattle), 1239 nucleotides long. Lineage: Eukaryota; Metazoa; Chordata; Mammalia; Artiodactyla; Bovidae. The record is from Ensembl.